AAUCCUAAAAAGAUUAUCUAUGACAAUCCGUAUAAAACCAAAACCGAACUAUUGGAAACCGUACUAUUUAAGGAACGACUGUAGUUGAUGUGAGAAGCGAUGGUGUCUUAAAAUACAGCCCACACACGCCCUGGAUGACGACAGAAUGAGCUUGUGGCAUAGAUGGAAAUUGAUGUAGAUGCAGAUAAAGACAGACACAUGGAGAGAUACAUAUGCAGCUCAUGGUAUUGGCAGAAUGUUAGGAGAAAUACUGGGGCACACACACCCUGGUUGACGAUAGAUAGAGCUUGUGGCAUAGACAGAGAUUGAUGUAGAUGCAGAUAUAGACAGAGACAUAGAGAUAGAGAUAGCUUGUGAUAUCAACCGGAAUGUUAGCAAGGGAAAUCUUAGAACACAUACCCCUUGAAAUACAAUAGAUACAGCUUGUGAUAGAUACAGAUAUACAUACAGCUUGUGAUAUCGACUGAAAUGUUAGUAUGGGGUAAUUUUAGAACAGGCAAACUUUGAAAUAUAAUAGAUAACGCUUGCAAUAGAUACAGAUAGAGAGAUACAGGCAUAACUAGAGCUUGUGAUAUUGACUGGAAUGUUAGCAAGGGGAAUUUUGGAACACUCCCCCCCUUAAAUGAUAACAGAUACAGCUUACGAUAGAUACAGACGGAGAUAAAGAAACAGGCAUAGAAAGAGCUUGUGAUAUUGACCGGAAUGUUAGCAAGGGUAAUUUUGGACCCCCCCCCCCCUAACCCAGUAGCAGCGGGGAUCAUGUUUCUUAAUGGUCCCUCCAAGCGAGAAAAUUGAGAAAAAAUCGCCCCUCACACAAACCAUUUCAUAAUCUAUAUCAAAGCAUUUGUGAUCAGUUUAUGCAUCAUCUAUUUUGGGGGGUUUAUAUCAUGGCACAAAUUUGGCCCGUCGCUGCUACCGGGUUAAAUGACAACAGAUACAGACAUAGAUAUACAUACAGCUUGUGAUAUUGACUGAAAUCUUAGUAUAGGGUAAUUUUAGAAUAGACAAACUUUGAAAUACAAUAAAUAACGCUUCCAAUAGAUACAUAUAGAGAUACAGGGAUGUGCGUCAUUAUGAAAAACUGAUUGAGUCUAAAAUUCUGACGAUCGCCGAGAAGUGACUUAGGCAGGUUGUUGAUGAGGGCGACGGCAUAUUAGAUGGCUGUUUCUCUCUCUCUCUCUUUCUCUCUCUCUCUCUCUCUCUCUCUCUCUCUCUCUCUCUCUCUCUCUCUCUCUCUCUCUCUCUCUCUCUCUUCCUCCACAAUCUUUCCUCUCCCUUCUCUCAUUAUUCUUCCUCUUCCUUCCUUUAUCUUCUCUUCCCUUCCCUAUAUCCCCUUCUUCCUCCUCCUCCUCUCCCUUCACUGCUAUCGGACAAGAAUGGACUCACUAGCAAACCUUCCUCCACUUCAAUCUACAACUUCUACACACACCCACUUACUUAAGGACCUCCAGCCACUUAUUCUACACAUUAAUCUACUUAUGUACACUUUUUAACUACUUACUCUACCAAUACUUGUCUCAUUAUAACACUUUUUUGUCAAUCGUGUCUCUACUUGACAACCCAGAGAGUACUUUAGUGAAAUUUGGUAGUAGUAGAAGAGGUAGUAGUAGUAGUAGUAGUAGUAGUAGUAGUAGUAAUAGUAGUAGUAGUAGUAGUAGUAUCAUAUCUAUUCCCUUCAAUUUCUUACCAUACCUCUCCACCCAAAAUUGAUCUCUCUUUUGGGCACUCUUUACUUUAGUCUAUUAUGGGAGCGGCAAGUAGCAGGUUUUUUUUUCUUUCUUUUUGUACUCGAUUUGUUGCCCUCGAACCGUCUCCUUCAUUGUAAAAAAAAUACAUAAAUAAAUAACAAACCAUUGAAUCCUACCUGUCCUGUCUACUUGUCCUGGGUUACACGGCAUAGGUUCACGGGCUCGGCACCACAAGGGAGGCUUUCAUGACCAGUAAUUCAUACAUACACGGUUACACGGCAGCCUUCACACCACAACCUCGUACUUCUCAAUGGUACUCCCGUUGUAAGGUUGGCUAAUAGGAGGAAGCACCCAAAUCAGUCAUAUGUUAGCAGGCCAUACCCAAUAGAGUCAUGCGUCAGGGUGAGAGGUGGAUUGGUAGAUUGGGUUGUAGAAGGCGUGAAUGCACCCAAUCAAGUCAUGUGUUUGGUUGAGUGAUGGACGCACCCAAAUGAGGUCAUAUAAGAGGUGGAUGUACCCAAUGUAAGUCACUUGAGAGGAAGCUGUACCCAAUUUUAAGUCAUUUGAGAGGAGGCUGUACCCAAUUUUAAGUCAUGUGAGAGAGGAUGUACCCAAUUUUAAGUCAUGUCAGUGGCGAGCAUACCAAUUUUAAGUCAUGUCAGAGGUAAAUGUACCCAAUUUAAGUCAUAUGAGAGGAAAAUGUACCCAAUUAAGUUCAUCCCCACAAGCUAAGUUAUUGUUAUCAUUUUCAGUGGUGCCAUGAAAGAAGAAAAGUAGAAAAAAGAUGAAGAAAAA
Eriocheir sinensis (Chinese mitten crab) is the source of this 2483-nucleotide long non-coding RNA. RefSeq lists it as uncharacterized. The transcript is spliced from 2 exons. The record is from RefSeq and is a predicted model, not a curated record. Lineage: Eukaryota; Metazoa; Arthropoda; Malacostraca; Decapoda; Varunidae.